Non-coding RNA from Kogia breviceps (pygmy sperm whale), 2012 nucleotides. NCBI's taxonomy places the organism in Eukaryota, Metazoa, Chordata, Mammalia, Artiodactyla, Physeteridae. The record is from RefSeq and is a predicted model, not a curated record.
CCUUCCCCGGGGCACAGCAGGUCCCCGGAGCAGGGGCGGGGGUGACUCUUGGGAGGAGGGGAGGGAGCCGGGCCGCCACGUCGCCGGCCCUGCGCAGGCUGCACGCUCCUCUCCGCCCAGUCCUCCCGGGCCUCCCCAUAGAAGAUGUCCGUUGAAUGAAGACGGGAUUGCUGAGGUCCUGAAUUCUGCUUGUUAACAGAAAGUGAAACAUAAAAAGAAUGUCACUGAGCAUGGGAUAUUCCCUGACAGCCUGCUCUGUCCUAGGCUCUCUGCUGGACAUGAGGAUACCUUUCCCCAAGGAGCUUCCAGACUGAUCAGAUACACCCAUAGACACACAAUUCCCCUACAGUGAAUGUGUGUGAUGAAUGUCUUUCCCUCAUCUAUAGGGGAGUCGAAACUACUCUGCACGACCUCUGCCUCCCUCUCAGCUUUGCUCCCACCUCCCCAGGCCUGAGCCACGCCGAAGCACUUGUGGUCCCCUGAGUGCACAGGCUCACGUCUGCCUCUGUGGGUGUCAGGUGUCGGAUCCCACUCUCUCAGCUCCUAUGGACCCUUCCGGGCUCAGCUCCUUUCAAGGAUGCCUUCCUGGAUCCCACAGGCAAAAUGCAGAAACUGAGAAGAAAAGUGGUGGAAUGGAUUCCCUCACCUAAUAAGAAGCCACAGAGCUAAGAUUCAAAUGUAUGUUCCUGUCCAGAUGAGCCAGCAAACCUGGGCUUCUUUGCCUCCAGUGCUAGAGAAGUACAAGGCAUGUAACGGGUACCAGUAAAUGUGACCCUGGACUAUAAGCUCCCCGAGGGCAAGGCAUUUGGACAACUUUAUUCACUACUGAGUUCUCACACUGAAAGCGGUGCCUUGUGCAGAGGAGGCAGCCAGUAAUCAUUUUCAGACUAAAUAAAUGGAUUUUGCAUUCAUGGCAGGGUUGCCAGCUCUGCCAUUUACUAGCUGUGACCGCAGGCAAGUUACUGAGCUGGAUCGUGUUUCCACAGUUUUCUCCUCUGUAUAUUGCGGUCAAUGGUGAUUCCCUCCCAGUAACUGCUCCAUUACCUACCUUCCUCCGGCUUUAUGAACCCUCUGUCCCAGGCUUACUUGUUUGUACUCUACACUACUUGAAACAGAACAAAAUCCAAAACAUACAACUACAACAACAAAUGGACCUGUGCUUUCUGGACCCCCAUAAGACAUUGUCCUUAGUGAUGCAAAUGUAUGCCAAGACUAAUGUGUUCUCUUCAUCAGAGGGCUUUGCACUUCAGCAAGUGUCUUCUGGAAACAUGGUAAUGUAAUCCAUGCAUAACUGCCUACUAGUAGAAUUAUAGCCAAGCUAUAGGCAGUUCAUACCACUUGAGAAUAAAACUGUAUUACCUUAGCUCAGUGGAAACAAGAUGUGAUCAACUAGUUAUAGCUGCAUAGCGGAGCAAGGGGUUGUUGGAGGCUUAAUUGCCAUCUUGGGCUAAACUGAUCUUCCUAUAUUUUACAGCUGGGGAAACUGAGGUUCCGGCAAGGAAAAAUGACUUGUUUAAAAUCAAAUAGCUAAUAGGUAUCAGAAGCAGCACUUGAUUCCUGGUCGGUCUGAUUCAGCAGAGUCCAGUGCUCUUGCCCUACUUUUCUGACCUUUUCUUGGACCUUUUUGCAGCUCCAAGACAAAGCUUCUUCCCCUCCCCCACCACCCCAAAAAAAGAAAAGAAAAGAAAAAGAAAAGGGAAAGGGGACAUCUAUGGAGCAUCUUCCCUGGUCUGGGCACUCUCUGUGAGACACUUUACAAACAAAAGACUCUUCCCGUUGAUCCUCAUUAUAGCCUUAUGAGGUGGGCAACAUUACCCCCAUUUUACAGAUGAGAAAACAGAGUCUCAGCCCCAUGAUGAAGUUCACCUAAGACCCCAGAGCUGGAGAGAGAAGCCUGUAUCCUCCUCCCCACCCCCGCUGAGGAUUUGAACCCAUACUCCAGGGCUAAAUAGUCUUCCAACCCACAGAUUCAGGACUUAAGCCUCCCUGCCCUCCCACCUGCAGAACCAGCU